UACGUAGGUGGCAAGCGUUGUCCGGAAUUAUUGGGCGUAAAGCGCGCGCAGGCGGUCCUUUAAGUCUGAUGUGAAAGCCCACGGCUCAACCGUGGAGGGUCAUUGGAAACUGGGGGACUUGAGUGCAGAAGAGGAGAGUGGAAUUCCACGUGUAGCGGUGAAAUGCGUAGAGAUGAGGAGGAACACCAGUGGCGAAGGCGGCAUCCUGGACCGGUAUUGACGCUGAGGCGCGAAAGCCAGGGGAGCAAACGGG
Molecule: ribosomal RNA, 253 nt
Filed under: uncultured bacterium
Lineage: Bacteria
Description: partial 16S ribosomal RNA
Rfam family: Bacterial small subunit ribosomal RNA
Source: RNAcentral